This 253-nucleotide ribosomal RNA is filed under the name uncultured bacterium. Its description in RNAcentral is "partial 16S ribosomal RNA". It matches the Rfam family "Bacterial small subunit ribosomal RNA", at positions 524 to 776 of the family's 1533-position model. The record is from RNAcentral.
UACGUAGGGGGCAAGCGUUGUCCGGAUUUAUUGGGCGUAAAGAGCGUGUAGGCGGCCGUACAGGUCAGCUGUGAAAACUCGAGGCUCAACCUCGAGACGUCGGUUGAAACCGUACGGCUAGAGUCCGGAAGAGGAGAGUGGAAUUCCCGGUGUAGCGGUGAAAUGCGCAGAUAUCGGGAAGAACACCCGUGGCGAAGGCGGCUCUCUGGGACGGUACUGACGCUGAGACGCGAAAGCAUGGGGAGCGAACAGG